CCCAAUCAGCUGAUCAUCUAAACAAAGGAAUUGGUAGGACGAAAUUCACUAGUCAUUUCUCCUUAUUUGACCCACACCACGCCCUCCCACGCCCUGCAGAAGCCACGCCCACACACCUGAGCAGCGGGGCAAGGGCGUCUCCUCCUCGUUCACCAUGGGAUACAACGAUUUAAUGGCGUCCUGGCCCGGUAAAGAGGAAAAUAGUGGAGGCGAUGCGCUGUGCCUUCCACCCAAAGCCGCCAUCUUGACUCCUCUCUCAGCUGUUCCCAUGUUGCCAAGGACACUCGCCAUUACCAACACUCACUCCAUCAAUAAAUGCUUCUAAAAAUAUUAUUCGCUUUGUUUCUAAUGUUGUUUUUAUCGUUUUGUGUUCAUUUUACGUUUUUACUUGGUUUCAUGCCUUUUGGCCCAUAUUCUGUCAAUUUCAUCAAUAAUUGCUUCUAAAAAUACUAUUUGCUUUAUUUUUAAGGUUAUUUUGUUAUGUAUUUUAGUUUUAUUUCAUGUUUUAGAUUUGUUUAGAUGUAUUUUGGGUCAUAUUUCUGUAUUUUUCUCACUCAUUCACUCACUCCAUCAAUAAAUGCUUCUAAAAAUAA
Portunus trituberculatus (swimming crab) is the source of this 593-nucleotide long non-coding RNA. RefSeq lists it as uncharacterized. The record is from RefSeq and is a predicted model, not a curated record. The transcript has 2 exons. Lineage: Eukaryota; Metazoa; Arthropoda; Malacostraca; Decapoda; Portunidae.